Molecule: ribosomal RNA, 529 nt
Rfam family: 5.8S ribosomal RNA (bases 179-332)
CCUGCGGAGGGAUCAUUACAGAGAAACUCGCCCGCAAGGGUGACUCUCCAACCCUAUGUUAAUUAUACCUUUGUUGCUUUGGCGAGCCGCCUCGGCCACCGGCUCACGCUGGUGAGUGCUCGCCAGAGGACCCUAAACUCUGUUUAUACAUGUCGUCUGAGUACUAUAUAAUAGUUAAAACUUUCAACAACGGAUCUCUUGGUUCUGGCAUCGAUGAAGAACGCAGCGAAAUGCGAUAAGUAAUGUGAAUUGCAGAAUUCAGUGAAUCAUCGAAUCUUUGAACGCACAUUGCGCCCUGUGGUAUUCCGCAGGGCAUGCCUGUUCGAGCGUCAGUACAACACUCAAGCCUAGCUUGGUCUUGGGCCUCGCCGGAAACGGCGGGCCUUAAAAUUAGUGGCGGCGCCUGUUAGGCCCUAAGCGUAGUAAUACUCCUCGCUAUAGGGACCCGGCAGGUGCUGGCCAGUAACCCUCAACUUUCUAAGUUUGACCUCGGAUCAGGUAGGGAUACCCGCUGAACUUAAGCAUAUCA